RNAcentral lists this ribosomal RNA (1880 nucleotides) under Lacrimispora sp. RNAcentral describes it as "partial 23S ribosomal RNA". It matches the Rfam family "Bacterial large subunit ribosomal RNA", at positions 1 to 1868 of the family's 2925-position model. The record is from RNAcentral. Lineage: Bacteria; Bacillati; Bacillota; Clostridia; Lachnospirales; Lachnospiraceae.
GGUCAAGUUAUUAAGAGCAUAGGGCGAAUGCCUUGGCACCAAGAGCCGAUGAAGGACGGGAUAAGCACCGAUAUGCUUCGGGGAGUCGCAAAUAGACAUCGAUCCGGAGAUUUCCGAAUGGGGAAACCUACUUGAGCAACCCUCAAGUACUUGUAAGUGAAUACAUAGCUUACAAGAGGAAGACCAGGGGAACUGAAACAUCUAAGUACCCUGAGGAAGAGAAAGAAAAAUUCGAUUUCCUAAGUAGCGGCGAGCGAACGGGAAAGAGCCCAAACCAGAUUUAUCUGGGGUUACGGACAGAACAAAGGAUAUGUAGUUAGUAGAGGAAGAAGACUGGAAAGUCUCACCAAAGAAGGUGAUAGUCCUGUACUCGAAACUAAAUACAUACAGGUUCUUGAUCCAGAGUACCACGAGACACGUGAAAUCUUGUGGGAAGUAGGGAGGCCCACCUCCCAAGGCUAAAUACUACUUGGUGACCGAUAGAGAAUAGUACCGUGAGGGAAAGGUGAAAAGAACCCCGGAAGGGGAGUGAAAUAGAACCUGAAACCCUAUGCUUACAAGCAGCGGAAGCACAUUAGUAGUGUAACCGCGUACUUUUUGUAGAACGGGCCAGCGAGUUAUGGUAUGCAGCGAGGUUAAGUAAUUAAGUUACGAAGCCGUAGGGAAACCAAGUCUGAAUAGGGCGCCAUAGUUGUAUGCCAUAGACCCGAAACCGGGUGACCUAUCCAUGGGCAGAGUGAAGUUGAAGUAAAAUUCAAUGGAGGCUCGAACCCGUCAACGUUUAAAAGUUGUGGGAUGACCUGUGGAUAGGGGUGAAAAGCCAAUCGAACUCGGAGAUAGCUGGUUCUCCUCGAAAUAGCUUUAGGGCUAGCCUCGAGUGAAAGUGAGAUGGAGGUAGAGCACUGAAUGGUCUAGGGGCGCUCAUGCGUUACCAAAACCUAUCAAACUCCGAAUGCCAUACUCAUGAUACUCGGGAGUCAGACUAUGUGGGAUAAGCUUCAUAGUCGAAAGGGAAAGAGCCCAGACCACCAGCUAAGGUCCCUAAAUCCAAAUUAAGUGUAAAAGGAUGUGGGGUUUCACAGACAACCAGGAUGUUGGCUUAGAAGCAGCCAUACAUUUAAAGAGUGCGUAAUAGCUCACUGGUCGAGAGACCCUGCGCCGAAGAUUUCCGGGGCUAAAUUUGGUACCGAAGCUGUGGAUUGUUGAUUAUUCAACAGUGGUAGAGGAGCAUUGUGUGCUGGGAAGAAGGUGUACCGAAAGGAGCGCUGGACUGCACACAAGAGAGAAUGCUGGCAUAAGUAGCGAAAGGUGAGUGAGAAUCUCACCCAUCGAAAGCCUAAGGUUUCCUGAGGAAGGCUCGUCCACUCAGGGUAAGUCGGGACCUAAGCCCAGGCCGCAAGGCGUAGGCGAUGGACAACAGGUGAUAAUUCCUGUACUAGUUAAAUGCGUUUGAGAGAUGUGGGGACGCAGGAGGAUAAGUUGAGCGUGCGAUUGGAAAAGCACGUCUAAGUAAGUAGACAGAGGAGAUAGGCAAAUCCGUUUCCUCACUUAAUGUCGAGAUACGAUGGGGAUCGAAAAAUAAGUAGAGAAGCAACUGACUCCACACUGCCAAGAAAAGCCACUAUCGAGUAAAUAACUACCCGUACCGCAAACCGACACAGGUAGGCGAGGAGAGAAUCCUAAGAUGAGCGGAAGAACUAUUGUUAAGGAACUCGGCAAAAUGACCCCGUAACUUCGGGAGAAGGGGAGCCAGAGAAGGAUAGAUUGAACAAUCGAAAGAACAUCUGGCCGCAGUGAAUAGGCCCAAGCGACUGUUUACCAAAAACACAAGUCUCUGCUAAGUCGAAAGACGAAGUAUAGGGGCUGACACCUGCCCGGUG